AAACCGUGAAUGCACGCGGUUUUCUCGGCAAGUGCCAAGCGACCGACCGCCAAAUGACAUGGUCAACUUAUCGGUGAACGUAGAUAGUCUGUUGUUAACCAUGGUUUAGUCCGCGAUGCGCACGCUAAAUCGGCGAAGAGGAGGAAAGACAGGAGCCAACGGAGGCGGAGAAGGAAACAGGACCGGGCAGGAUAAUUUUACGCACGGCCUCAAAUCCGUCUUGGUUCAUCUCCUUUGUGACUCUUUCUUCUAUUCAACUUUUUCAAGGAAUCGAACCCUAAUUCCUUACCUGUCCCUAUCUGGAUCACAAUCCCUCUCCCUCUUCCGCUUCCUGGAGGCUUUAAAGUUUGCAUUAGAAUAGCCGAUUUCAGGCAUUGCGGGCUCCGCAUCGCUGGCGAGAUUCUGCGUGGUGCAGCUAUGAGCCGAAUAACUCUCCUAAUGACAGUAUGGGAUUGAAAUCUUCAGGUGGGAUUGCGACCCUCCAUCGAACCGGAGCUGCGAGUGGCGAUUGUGCCGGACUGGGGGAUUAACACGAUUAGGAAAAAAAAGUCAUCGCAUUCGUAUUCGAUCUCUUUCUUUGGCGGCGAUCGGAUGGUGGGGAUGCACUGAUUGGGCGGUGCGGAGCCAUGGAGGAGGAUGGGGGAAGCAAGGACGAUGGAUCUGGUGGCGGCCAAUCGGGAGGGGCGCAUGCUUCUGCUGCUUCUUCUGCUUGGACGCCUCUCAUCAGUGCUUUUCGUUCUUAUGAGGUCUCCCGUAUUUAUUCCACGUCUUCUUUUAAGUUGGGCAAUAUUGGAGCGACCGUCAGGAGGCCUUUUGUGGCAAGACUAACCAAAGAAAUAGCAGAAACUUUCCAAAUAUGUAACCCAGAUUUUAAAUUUUCAGAAAUAUUGAACCCCAAGCGCUUCCUUACCAAUCCAUCAGCUGGGGUAUUGAAUGAUGGUUUUGAUAACGAGGACAAUGAUCUAAUUUUGUAUGUGAACUAUAUUUUGAUCAAUGCGGGGUCAAAACAAAGGUACAUUGUCAAAGAUCUUCUUGGUCAGGGUACAUUUGGACAAGUUGCGAAGUGUUGGGUUCCUGAAACUGAUAAUUAUGUUGCUGUUAAGAUUAUUAAAAAUCAACCUGCUUAUUAUCAGCAGGCGCUUGCUGAGGUUUCUAUUUUGUCAAUGCUAAAUCAAAAAUUUAAUACUGAUGAGCGUCGUCACAUUGUACGCAUCCUUGAUUAUUUUGUUUAUCAGCAUCAUCUGUGCAUAUCUUUUGAGUUGCUUGGCGCAAAUCUCUAUGAACUGAUUAAAAUGAACCAAUUCAGAGGAUUUCCGCUGAACAUUGUCCGGCGGUUUUCAAUGCAGAUCCUCCAUGCAUUGGUGGUGAUAAAGGAUGCUGGCAUUAUACAUUGUGAUCUGAAGCCAGAAAAUAUACUUGUUGCCUCAAGUGCUGGGUCAGAUAUAAAAGUAAUUGAUUUUGGGUCUGCUUGCUUGGAAGGCCGAACUGUUUACUCAUAUAUUCAGAGCCGUUACUAUAGAUCCCCCGAAGUUCUUCUAGGUUAUCCAUAUACGGCUGCAAUUGAUAUGUGGUCAUUUGGAUGUAUUGUGGCUGAAUUAUUCUUGGGUUUACCUUUAUUCGCUGGAGCAUCAGAGUUUGAUCUCCUCCAGCGGAUGAUAGAGAUUCUUGGUGCACAACCCCCUGAUGAUCUGCUAAGAGAUGCACAAAACACAAAUAACUUUUUUAAACAGGUUGGAGGUAUUUACCGCUUGGAGGAUGAAGUAUAUAAGGACGUUAUACGUGCUUAUUGUGCUUUAACUGCAGAAGAAUAUGAAGCUAAGGAAUGCAAAAAACCUGUAAUAGGGAAGCGUUAUUUCAAUUAUGUGAAUCUUGAAGAUGUGAAGCUUGAAGACGUAAUUGAAAAAUAUCCCUAUAGAAAGAAUUUAGCUGAAGAAGAGGUUACUAAAGAAACCUUAGAACGCUUGAAACUGGUUGAUUUCUUGAGAGGCCUUGUUGAAUUUGAUCCAGCAAAAAGAUGGUCACCUUUGCAGGCUUCAAGGCAUCCAUUUAUCACUGGCGAAGCCCUUACAUGCCCGUACAACCCUCCACCAGAGACCCAACAAAUUCGUGCCAUGCAAACUAUUACAGUGGACCAUCACAAUCCUGGAGGAGGUCAUUGGUUAGCCGCUGGCCUAUCUCCACAGGUUCAAAAUGUGAACAGAUGUUUUGGCCAGAACAGUCCUCAAUUUCAGAUGGUGUCCUUAACCCAUGGUGGUAGUUAUGGUAGCAUGGGAAGUCAUGGAAGCUACAUUGAUAAUUUUGGUAUUGGAAGUAGCUAUGGAAGCUACGGAGAUGCUAAUAAUAAUAUGCAAACAUAUUUCUCACCGGUUGGCCCAUAUGGUAUGAAUGUUCAAGCUCAAGUUGGUUUACCAUUCAUAGGUACUAGUCCGGAUACUCGGCGUAGACCUCAGAGAUGUCAUGGAAGUUUAUUUGGUGUACCUCCUCCUACUGGAAAUCUUGGGCCAAUGUCUGUUGGAGCCAGUCCUUCCCAAUUUACACCACCAUGUUCCCAAAUACAGAUUACAACUGUUUCUCCGGGAAAGUAUGGCUCUUCUCCUGCACGAGGCAGCCUUCAUGGUUCACCCUUGGGAAAGGCCACUGCGGUUGCACAAUUUAAUCGGAGAAGGGCUUGCGGAAACCCUGGUAGUUCAACUAUGCAGUUUCAUGAAAGUGCACCUCAGCAUUGGCAGGGCUAUCACGAGGGAACUGGUAGUAGUCAGCCUGAUACUUAUUCUCAUGUGCAGUUUUCUUCUCGCGGUUCAUAUCCAUCUUCUACUCACUCGUACUGGAGGCAACAAAUGAGUGCUGGCAGGGGAUCAGGCCAACCUAUGAACAGUCACAUUGCCCAUCCUAUUCAUAGCACUGUCAUCUCACCUCCAUCACAUUCCACUGCAGCUUCUGGUGAUAAACAUGAGAGCAGCUCAUUGCUACCUGAUCCUGCAGAUUGGGAUCCCAAUUAUAGUGAUGAUCUUCUUUUGCAAGAGGAUAAUUAUGAUGUGAGUUCAUUAUCUUUGGGAAUGUCUAAUGGCUUGCGGUUGGGUAACAUAAUGGAUCCUGCAACCUUAACAAGUGGAGUAAUCAGAUUAGGCCACAUUUCUAAUCAAGCAUCUACAAGUUCUAGUUCAAGAUUAUCGAACCAAAGAACAGAUGGGCAGUUUCAGACAUACCCACUUGAUGAGAGCAUCCCGCACCUAGCAAAUGAUCUGCAUACAGGUUUCAACCGCCUACCCAAUGUGGCACAAAACUCUCCCAGCCGUUUUAGUCAGCAAUCACAACAAUCGUUUAAUCGGUACAAUAAUUAUGUGCAAUCAACAGCAAUGCAUGGUUUGAGGACACAUCAGAAAAUUCAACCAUCCCGAUCCAAUUAUAAUAUGGUUGAUUCACAUUCUGCCACUAAUAAUAUGUUCAACAAUAGCAUGCAAUGGGUUUAAAGUUCAAAUAUGGUGGUGGUCAGUGGUCGAUAGUGGCAAUAGUGAUCGGUGAUGGCGGCGGCAGUUGGUGGAGACGGGUCAUUGACGACGACGAUGGCCUAUGGAGGAGGCGGGUGGCUAUGGUGGUGGCAGCCCCACAACGGUGAUGGCACUAGUCGAUGGCAGGAGAUGAGGGGGUGGCGGUGGUGAAUGGCGGCCAGCAGCGAUAAGGGCAAAGAGCUGGACAUCCCAUCAUAACCCUCCAGCCAUCUUCGCAUGGAAGGAAAGACUAUGACAGUAUCUCAUAGUGUUGUAGAAUUGUUUUUAAUGUUGCGUUUUUUAUGGAUAUCAGAUUCAUGGCUGGCAGUGAAAAAAUAUGUACUGCAAAAUCCCAUUGCUUGCUUAUAGGUUCUCUGGCAGUUUCAAUCUGUUAGUCAAUUGUGCUUGAUAAAAACAUAUCUGAUUGUUGGUCAUCUAUCGAUCCUCUUUAUUAAGUGUCUAUAGCCAGAUGAUGUUUAGCAUUUGUUCAGUUUCCACGUCAUUUAACUACAUAUAUAUGUCUUUGCUCGUUUGACUUUACCCCAGUGGGAUAUUAUGAUCUGAGGCAAAGACGUGCCUCGUGCGUGCUAGGAGUUUCUUUUUGUUAAUUUUAUUUUUUAUUUUGUGUUUAUCUGUCAUUGAAUCUUAUUGAAUAAGCAAUCAUAAUAUUUAUCUUAGUGGCA
Molecule: RNA transcript, 4171 nt
Organism: Dendrobium catenatum
Lineage: Eukaryota; Viridiplantae; Streptophyta; Magnoliopsida; Asparagales; Orchidaceae
Gene name: dual specificity protein kinase YAK1 homolog
Exons: 19
Source: RefSeq, a predicted model, not a curated record